RNAcentral lists this unclassified non-coding RNA (367 nucleotides) under Hevea brasiliensis (rubber tree). Lineage: Eukaryota; Viridiplantae; Streptophyta; Magnoliopsida; Malpighiales; Euphorbiaceae. The record is from RNAcentral.
GCUGAUUUGUUUUCUUCUAUCCAAAAUGUCUUGCAAGUUGCCAAGCACCAUGACCUUAUCCCCACUUGGCAUGCUAACAAUGACCUGAAAUAUGAAAAUGAAAAUGAAAAUUGUUUGUUAGUCUUUUUACUACUAUCUUUGACAUGAAUCCUUUGUCAAUUGUCUUCGAUUAAGAGAUCUUCUUUGUUUUUUCAUUUGGUCAUGAAAGUCCUUACAAAAAUGAGAGCAACUGAGGCAGAUUUGGUGAAGGGGUUCAAUGUGGGGACCUUAAAUGGGCAUGGGAUCAGUGUUUCUCACCUUUUCUUUGCUUACGACUUUCUGAUUUUUUACCAUUUUUGUGCUGAGUAAUUUUUUUUUUUUUUUUUUU